RNAcentral lists this ribosomal RNA (599 nucleotides) under uncultured Gammaproteobacteria bacterium. Its description in RNAcentral is "bacterial SSU rRNA". It matches the Rfam family "Bacterial small subunit ribosomal RNA", at positions 32 to 631 of the family's 1533-position model. Lineage: Bacteria; Pseudomonadati; Pseudomonadota; Gammaproteobacteria. The record is from RNAcentral.
UNCGCUGGCGGCGGCCUACCAUGCAAGUCGAGCGGUUGAGGUAGCUUGCUACCGAUGCAGCGGCGAACGGGUGAGUAAUACAUGGGAAUCUGCCUGGUAGUGGGGGACAACGUUUCGAAAGGAACGCUAAUACCGCAUACGCCCUACGGGGGAAAGGGGGGGAUCGCAAGACCUCCCGCUAUCAGAUGAGCCCAUGUCAGAUUAGCUUGUUUGUGAGGUAAAGGCUCACCAAGGCGACGAUCUGUAACUGGUCUGAGAGGAUGAUCAGUCACACUGGAACUGAGACACGGUCCAGACUCCUACGGGAGGCAGCAGUGGGGAAUAUUGGACAAUGGGCGCAAGCCUGAUCCAGCCAUGCCGCGUGUGUGAAGAAGGCCUUAGGGUCGUAAAGCACUUUCAGUGGGGAGAAAGGUCAUUCACCUAAUACGUGAGUGAAUUGAUGUUACCCACAGAAGAAGCACCGGCUAACUCCGUGCCAGCAGCCGCGGUAAUACGGAGGGUGCAAGCGUUAAUCGGAAUUACUGGGCGUAAAGCGUACGUAGGUGGUUUGUUAAGCCAGCUGUGAAAUCCCCGGGCUCAACCUGGGCACUGCAGUUGGA